This 495-nucleotide ribosomal RNA is filed under the name uncultured bacterium. RNAcentral describes it as "partial 16S ribosomal RNA". It matches the Rfam family "Bacterial small subunit ribosomal RNA", at positions 28 to 507 of the family's 1533-position model. The record is from RNAcentral.
GACGAACGCUGGCGGCGUGCCUAAUACAUGCAAGUAGAACGCUGAAGGAGGAGCUUGCUUCUCUGGAUGAGUUGCGAACGGGUGAGUAACGCGUAGGUAACCUGCCUGGUAGCGGGGGAUAACUAUUGGAAACGAUAGCUAAUACCGCAUAAUAGCAGUUAUUGCAUGAUAACUGUUUGAAAGGUGCAAUUGCACCACUACCAGAUGGACCUGCGUUGUAUUAGCUAGUUGGUGGGGUAACGGCUCACCAAGGCGACGAUACAUAGCCGACCUGAGAGGGUGAUCGGCCACACUGGGACUGAGACACGGCCCAGACUCCUACGGGAGGCAGCAGUAGGGAAUCUUCGGCAAUGGACGGAAGUCUGACCGAGCAACGCCGCGUGAGUGAAGAAGGUUGUCGGAUCGUAAAGCUCGGUUGUAAGAGAAGAACGAGUGUGAGAGUGGAAAGUUCACACUGUGACGGUAGCUUACCAGAAAGGGACGGCUAACUACGUG